GACAAACGCUGGCGGCAUGCCUAACACAUGCAAGUCGAACGGACAGAACAGGGAAGCUUUUCGGAGUGGAACUGGAAAGUUAGUGGCGGAUGGGUGAGUAACGCGUGGACAACCUACCUUGUAAAGGGGAAUAACCUCGAGAAAUCGAAGCUAAUACCCCAUAAUAACCUUGCUUCGCAUGAAGUAAGGAGGAAAGGCGGCCUUAGCGCUGUCGAUACAAGAUGGGUCCGCGUCUGAUUAGCUAGUUGGUGAGGUAAAGGCUCACCAAGGCGACGAUCAGUAGCCGGCCUGAGAGGGUGAACGGCCACAUUGGGACUGAGACACGGCCCAGACUCCUACGGGAGGCAGCAGUGGGGAAUCUUCCGCAAUGGGCGAAAGCCUGACGGAGCAAUGCCGCGUGAGUGAAGAAGGCCUUCGGGUUGUAAAACUCUGUCCUUAUCGAAGAGAGAGUGUUGUAGUAACUGACAAUACUAGGACGGUAGAUGAGGAGGAAGCCCCGGCUAACUAUGUG
This 511-nucleotide ribosomal RNA is filed under the name uncultured bacterium. Its description in RNAcentral is "partial 16S ribosomal RNA". It matches the Rfam family "Bacterial small subunit ribosomal RNA", at positions 28 to 507 of the family's 1533-position model. The record is from RNAcentral.